AGUAUUAUGUGAAUAAAAAGAAAACAAAAAUCUAUAUUUAAAACAUUUUUUAAAUAGUAAACCAAUUUAUUUUGCGGGGUGGUUUUUGCUUCUUGUUCUACUCAAUAGUAAAUACAAUGUUCAUGAAGAAAAAUCACUUAUUGUAAAUAGGUUUGAGGGUAAAAAUUAUUUUGACUCUACAAAUAAGGGAAUCAUGGAGACAGAAAGUUAACUAGGAAUAUUAUUGCGUGUGGCGUGUGUCAUUUGUUUAUUGUUUUGAUUUUUUCGUCGAAGGGAUGAUGUUGUCCCGUUGGAUACUUCAUCCAGUUCAUCCAGCAUUCCAGCUUCCAGCAUAUCAGUCGUCACUCGUCAGUUCUCAAGUCUCAAGAGUUUUUGGGUUCUUCAUUAUCGUUUCUAGAAUGGUUAUAAAUAGAAGUAUCAGUUUUAAAAGCAUUGUCAUAUUUUAUUACUAAAGAGAUAGUGCCAGAUAGCAUGUUAUAUUUGGAUUUGUAAUUGUAGGAAUUUAUGUGGCAUGUCUUUUUUUUUAUUUCCAUUUUUUCAGGUUUCACAAUUGGAAUUUUAAAACAAACUGGUUACUUUGCAAUGGGCCUAAACACUGCUACAUUAACCUCGUCAAGGACCAGAGAGUAAAUCAUAUGCAUAUUACAGCACUGUCCAAAACUUACAACUACAGAAAUUGCAUAUGUGAUUCUACUUUCUAUCAAUAAUCAGACAGGGAGCAAUUCACAAGCGAUUCACAGACAUAUUUCUAGUUCAACUGCAGUGAAGCGAUUUGAAUAAUAAGUAAAACAAGACACUCAAAAAUAGACUUGCCAUAAUAGUGUUAGCAACAAAACAGUCAGUAGAUUGAUUUGUGUUAAGUGCUCCAAUGGAUUGAUGGAAACAUUGAUUGUCAUAAAGUGUAUUGAAAGAACUCUCGAAGGCCGGGGCGUGUUAAAAAAAAAAGGAAAUUCGGGAGCGGCGACCCUGGAAAAUAUGGGAUGCGUCACGAAUAAAAAAGCGCCUUGUCUUGGC
RNAcentral lists this unclassified non-coding RNA (1014 nucleotides) under Daphnia pulicaria. RNAcentral's name for it is "uncharacterized LOC124329109, transcript variant X1". Lineage: Eukaryota; Metazoa; Arthropoda; Branchiopoda; Diplostraca; Daphniidae. The record is from RNAcentral.